UCUCCAGAGGAGAGAGGAUCUCUACCUGUGGCUUCAUAUUCAUCAACUGCACCUUACUUAAUGGGACACACAUAUCAGAGUGGGUGUUUGAAGCCAAUAACACACUGUGUAUUAACCCAACUACUGCCCCUACCACUAGUUUGGGUACGAAGACUACCAUAGUGUCAAAUAAACCCUCCAAUCAAACUUUGACCAGUAAUGAACCAUGGUACAUUACCUAUUUACCACUAAUAGUUGGUGUACCCUCAGCCCUGGUCAUUGUCUUGGU
Molecule: long non-coding RNA, 268 nt
Organism: Mugil cephalus (flathead mullet)
Lineage: Eukaryota; Metazoa; Chordata; Actinopteri; Mugiliformes; Mugilidae
Exons: 3
Source: RefSeq, a predicted model, not a curated record